RNAcentral lists this ribosomal RNA (735 nucleotides) under uncultured Photobacterium sp. Its description in RNAcentral is "bacterial SSU rRNA". It matches the Rfam family "Bacterial small subunit ribosomal RNA", at positions 62 to 777 of the family's 1533-position model. Lineage: Bacteria; Pseudomonadati; Pseudomonadota; Gammaproteobacteria; Vibrionales; Vibrionaceae. The record is from RNAcentral.
UCGAGCGGCAGCGACUUAACUGAACCUUCGGGGAACGUUAAGGGCGGCGAGCGGCGGACGGGUGAGUAAUGCCUGGGAAUAUGCCCUGAUGUGGGGGAUAACUAUUGGAAACGAUAGCUAAUACCGCAUAAUCUCUUCGGAGCAAAGAGGGGGACCUUCGGGCCUCUCGCGUCAGGAUUAGCCCAGGUGGGAUUAGCUUGUUGGUGAGGUAAUGGCUCACCAAGGCAACGAUCCCUAGCUGGUCUGAGAGGAUGAUCAGCCACACUGGAACUGAGACACGGUCCAGACUCCUACGGGAGGCAGCAGUGGGGAAUAUUGCACAAUGGGGGAAACCCUGAUGCAGCCAUGCCGCGUGUGUGAAGAAGGCCUUCGGGUUGUAAAGCACUUUCAGUAGGGAGGAAGGUAGUGUAGUUAACACCUGCAUUAUUUGACGUUACCUACAGAAGAAGCACCGGCUAACUCCGUGCCAGCAGCCGCGGUAAUACGGAGGGUGCGAGCGUUAAUCGGAAUUACUGGGCGUAAAGCGCAUGCAGGCGGCCUGUUAAGUCAGAUGUGAAAGCCCGGGGCUUAACCUCGGAAUUGCAUUUGAAACUGGCAGGCUAGAGUCUUGUAGAGGGGGGUAGAAUUUCAGGUGUAGCGGUGAAAUGCGUAGAGAUCUGAAGGAAUACCAGUGGCGAAGCGGCCCCCUGGACAAAGACUGACGCUCAGAUGCGAAAGCGUGGGGAGCAAACAGGA